GGGGUAGAGCACUGUUUCGGCUAGGGGGCCAUCCCGGCUUACCAACCCGAUGCAAACUGCGAAUACCGGAGAAUGUUAUCACGGGAGACACACGGCGGGUGCUAACGUCCGUCGUGAAGAGGGAAACAACCCAGACCGCCAGCUAAGGUCCCAAAGUCAUGGUUAAGUGGGAAACGAUGUGGGAAGGCCCAGACAGCCAGGAUGUUGGCUUAGAAGCAGCCAUCAUUUAAAGAAAGCGUAAUAGCUCACUGGUCGAGUCGGCCUGCGCGGAAGAUGUAACGGGGCUAAACCAUGCACCGAAGCUGCGGCAGCGACACUCAGGUGUUGUUGGGUAGGGGAGCGUUCUGUAAGCCUGCGAAGGUGGCCUGUGAGGGUUGCUGGAGGUAUCAGAAGUGCGAAUGCUGACAUAAGUAACGAUAAAGCGGGUGAAAAGCCCGCUCGCCGGAAGACCAAGGGUUCCUGUCCAACGUUAAUCGGGGCAGGGUGAGUCGACCCCUAAGGCGAGGCCGAAAGGCGUAGUCGAUGGGAAACGGGUUAAUAUUCCCGUACUUGGUGUUACUGCGAAGGGGGGACGGAGAAGGCUAUGUUGGCCGGGCGACGGUUGUCCCGGUUUAAGCGUGUAGGUGUGUGUUCCAGGUAAAUCCGGUUCACUUUAACACUGAGGCGUGACGACGAGGCACUACGGUGCUGAAGCAACAAAUGCCCUGCUUCCAGGAAAAGCCUCUAAGCAUCAGGUAACAUCAAAUCGUACCCCAAACCGACACAGGUGGUCAGGUAGAGAAUACCAAGGCGCUUGAGAGAACUCGGGUGAAGGAACUAGGCAAAAUGGUGCCGUAACUUCGGGAGAAGGCACGCUGACACGUAGGUGAAGUGAUUUACUCAUGGAGCUGAAGUCAGUCGAAGAUACCAGCUGGCUGCAACUGUUUAUUAAAAACACAGCACUGUGCAAACACGAAAGUGGACGUAUACGGUGUGACGCCUGCCCGGUGCCGGAAGGUUAAUUGAUGGGGUCAGCGCAAGCGAAGCUCCUGAUCGAAGCCCCGGUAAACGGCGGCCGUAACUAUAACGGUCCUAAGGUAGCGAAAUUCCUUGUCGGGUAAGUUCCGACCUGCACGAAUGGCGUAAUGAUGGCCAGGCUGUCUCCACCCGAGACUCAGUGAAAUUGAACUCGCUGUGAAGAUGCAGUGUACCCGCGGCAAGACGGAAAGACCCCGUGAACCUUUACUAUAGCUUGACACUGAACAUUGAGCCUUGAUGUGUAGGAUAGGUGGGAGGCUUUGAAGUGUGGACGCCAGUCUGCAUGGAGCCGACCUUGAAAUACCACCCUUUAAUGUUU
RNAcentral lists this ribosomal RNA (1336 nucleotides) under Salmonella enterica subsp. enterica serovar Agona. Its description in RNAcentral is "partial 23S ribosomal RNA". It matches the Rfam family "Bacterial large subunit ribosomal RNA", at positions 899 to 2215 of the family's 2925-position model. The record is from RNAcentral. Lineage: Bacteria; Pseudomonadati; Pseudomonadota; Gammaproteobacteria; Enterobacterales; Enterobacteriaceae.